This 608-nucleotide ribosomal RNA is filed under the name fungal endophyte sp. E16-3221. RNAcentral describes it as "eukaryotic LSU rRNA". The stretch from base 266 to 419 matches the Rfam family "5.8S ribosomal RNA". Lineage: Eukaryota; Fungi. The record is from RNAcentral.
UGGGAGAAAAAAAAAAAACGAACAAGGUUUCCGUAGGUGAACCUGCGGAAGGAUCAUUAUCUAUUCCAUGAGGUGCGGUCGCGGCCCUCGGCGGGAGCAACAGCUACCGUCGGGCGGUAGAGGUAACACUUUCACGCGCCGCAUGUCUGAAUCCUUUUUUUACGAGCACCUUUCGUUCUCCUUCGGCGGGGCAACCUGCCGUUGGAACCUAUCAAAACCUUUUUUUGCAUCUAGCAUUACCUGUUCUGAUACAAACAAUCGUUACAACUUUCAACAAUGGAUCUCUUGGCUCUGGCAUCGAUGAAGAACGCAGCGAAAUGCGAUAAGUAGUGUGAAUUGCAGAAUUCAGUGAAUCAUCGAAUCUUUGAACGCACAUUGCGCCCCUUGGUAUUCCAUGGGGCAUGCCUGUUCGAGCGUCAUCUACACCCUCAAGCUCUGCUUGGUGUUGGGCGUCUGUCCCGCCUCUGCGCGCGGACUCGCCCCAAAUUCAUUGGCAGCGGUCCUUGCCUCCUCUCGCGCAGCACAUUGCGCUUCUCGAGGUGCGCGGCCCGCGUCCACGAAGCAACUAGGACACGUCAAGACCUCGGAUCAUACUUAGCUGGGGAAGC